Chelonoidis abingdonii (Abingdon island giant tortoise) is the source of this 115-nucleotide non-coding RNA. The record is from RefSeq and is a predicted model, not a curated record. NCBI's taxonomy places the organism in Eukaryota, Metazoa, Chordata, Testudines, Testudinidae.
UGGGACACCACCAGUAAAGGGCACUCCCCACGAACUGAGCUAAUUCCCGGCGGUAACCAGUGGGAGGUGCUGCGGUGGUGAAUCCCAACCCCGUCACAAGGAAAUUCUCAAAGGC